This 668-nucleotide ribosomal RNA is filed under the name uncultured bacterium. RNAcentral describes it as "bacterial SSU rRNA". It matches the Rfam family "Bacterial small subunit ribosomal RNA", at positions 210 to 888 of the family's 1533-position model. The record is from RNAcentral.
UUUGCCCUUCGGGUCGACGAUUCGCGGCCUAUCAGCUUGUUGGAGAGGUAACGGCUCACCAAGGCAUCGACGGGUAGCUGGUCUGAGAGGAUGAUCAGCCACACUGGGACUGAGACACGGCCCAGACUCCUACGGGAGGCAGCAGUGGGGAAUCUUGCACAAUGGGCGCAAGCCUGAUGCAGCGACGCCGCGUGGGGGAUGAAGGCCUUCGGGUUGUAAACCCCUUUUAGCAGGGAAGAAGCGAAAGUGACGGUACCUGCAGAAAAAGCGCCGGCUAACUACGUGCCAGCAGCCGCGGUAAUACGUAGGGCGCAAGCGUUGUCCGGAAUUAUUGGGCGUAAAGAGCUCGUAGGCGGUACGUCACGUCUGCUGUGAAAACCUGAGGCUCAACCUCGGGCGUGCAGUGGGUACGGGCGAACUAGAGUGUGGUAGGGGAGACUGGAAUUCCUGGUGUAGCGGUGGAAUGCGCAGAUAUCAGGAGGAACACCGAUGGCGAAGGCAGGUCUCUGGGCCACAACUGACGCUGAGGAGCGAAAGCAUGGGGAGCGAACAGGAUUAGAUACCCUGGUAGUCCAUGCCGUAAACGGUGGGCACUAGAUGUGGGGCUCAUUCCACGAGUUCCGCGUCGCAGCUAACGCAUUAAGUGCCCCGCCUGGGGAGUACGGAAU